Molecule: ribosomal RNA, 425 nt
Filed under: uncultured bacterium
Lineage: Bacteria
Description: partial 16S ribosomal RNA
Rfam family: Bacterial small subunit ribosomal RNA
Source: RNAcentral
GUGGGGGAUAUUGCACAAUGGGGGAAACCCUGAUGCAGCGACGCCGCGUGAAGGAAGACGUACUUCGGUAUGUAAACUUCUAUCAGCAGGGAAGAAGAUGACGGUACCUGACUAAGAAGCCCCGGCUAACUACGUGCCAGCAGCCGCGGUAAUACGUAGGGGGCAAGCGUUAUCCGGAUUUACUGGGUGUAAAGGGAGCGUAGACGGUGAAGCAAGUCUGAUGUGAAAACCCGGGGCUCAACUCCGGGAUUGCAUUGGAAACUGUUUUACUUGAGUGCUGGAGGGGCAAGCGGAAUUCCUGGUGUAGCGGUGAAAUGCGUAGAUAUCAGGAAGAACACCGGUGGCGAAGGCGGCUUGCUGGUCAGUAACUGACGUUGAGGCUCGAAAGCGUGGGGAGCAAACAGGAUUAGAUACCCCAGUAGUCC